This 564-nucleotide ribosomal RNA is filed under the name Bacillus velezensis. RNAcentral's name for it is "bacterial SSU rRNA". It matches the Rfam family "Bacterial small subunit ribosomal RNA", at positions 88 to 634 of the family's 1533-position model. The record is from RNAcentral. Lineage: Bacteria; Bacillati; Bacillota; Bacilli; Caryophanales; Bacillaceae.
GAUGUUAGCGGCGGACGGGUGAGUAACACGUGGGUAACCUGCCUGUAAGACUGGGAUAACUCCGGGAAACCGGGGCUAAUACCGGAUGGUUGUUUGAACCGCAUGGUUCAGACAUAAAAGGUGGCUUCGGCUACCACUUACAGAUGGACCCGCGGCGCAUUAGCUAGUUGGUGAGGUAACGGCUCACCAAGGCGACGAUGCCGUAGCCCGACCUGAGAGGGUGAUCGGCCACACUGGGACUGAGACACGGCCCAGACUCCUACGGGAGGCAGCAGUAGGGAAUCUUCCGCAAUGGACGAAAGUCUGACGGAGCAACGCCGCGUGAGUGAUGAAGGUUUUCGGAUCGUAAAGCUCUGUUGUUAGGGAAGAACAAGUGCCGUUCAAAUAGGGCGGCACCUUGACGGUACCUAACCAGAAAGCCACGGCUAACUACGUGCCAGCAGCCGCGGUAAUACGUAGGUGGCAAGCGUUGUCCGGAAUUAUUGGGGCGUAAAGGGCUCGCAGGCGGUUUCUUAAGUCUGAUGUGAAAGCCCCCGGCUCAACCGGGGAGGGUCAUUGGAAACU